Long non-coding RNA from Ceratitis capitata (Mediterranean fruit fly), 653 nucleotides. RefSeq lists it as uncharacterized. The record is from RefSeq and is a predicted model, not a curated record. NCBI's taxonomy places the organism in Eukaryota, Metazoa, Arthropoda, Insecta, Diptera, Tephritidae. The transcript has 3 exons.
AUCAAGUUAUGGCUGAGGUACCGCCAAAUAUGAACCAAAAAGUAAAAACCGUCGAACAUUCGCGAAGCAGUCAUUUGAAUGAAGUAGUGCUGCACACACAAUACCAAGGCUGGAACUUUAUAAUUAGAAAUGAAUUUUAUGAAAGAAAAUUGUUUUAAAUGCAUUUUGCUAACAUCUGUUUUCAAGCCCGCGAAAUGGACAGCCCGAAAAACAGCUGAAAUGUGCAGAGCAGUGUUAUAAUUGAGGUCGAGCUGCCAACACAAUUUUUGUUAUUCGAUAAAAUACUGUAACUCUUCGUAGUUGACCGUCAAUUUUAAUUAUGUCUGCAAUUGAGUCCUACGAGUUGAAUUGCCAAUGCCACCUGUCAUUUGCCAGUAUUAAUUGUGAUAUAUCUACACCUCCUUUGCCGGUAAAUACGAAUGCUUCUCUCUCCGUUGCUGAGUGAAAGUGCGAGUGUAUGUGUAGGUGUGCAUAAACGAUUAGCAAUUGUUAAAGUGCAAGCGAAAUGUCAAGCGGAAGGUAAGAAAAAUUAAUUUCACAUGUCUCAAGGUGACACUGCCGUUGGGGUGAACUAAUUGGAGGACAAUAACUGAAGCAUUUAAAGAUUUUCAUUCAUAGUAAAAUACAUGCACACACAAAUAUAUAUAUGUUUA